CUUGGCGGCAGGGGAGACGCUACGCUCGUCGUCGUUUAAUUUUCUGUCGGUCAGAUCGACGGCCUGUGUCAUCGUCUCGGAAGUAUGCCAGGCGAUUUGGGACAUACUUGGACCCAUAUACGUGGCACUUCCGUCAACUCAGAAUGAAUGGUCAAAGGUUGCGAGAGACUUCCAAGAGAAGUGGGAUAUGCCACACUGCCUGGGUGCCAUAGACGGCAAACAUGUG
Rhipicephalus sanguineus (brown dog tick) is the source of this 226-nucleotide long non-coding RNA. RefSeq lists it as uncharacterized. Lineage: Eukaryota; Metazoa; Arthropoda; Arachnida; Ixodida; Ixodidae. The record is from RefSeq and is a predicted model, not a curated record. The transcript has 2 exons.